CCUACGGGUGGCAGCAGUGGGGAAUAUUGGGCAAUGGAGGCAACUCUGACCCAGCAAUGCCGCGUGAAUGAAGAAGGUCUUCGGAUUGUAAAGUUCUUUAAUCAGGGACGAAGAAGAUGACGGUACCUGAGGAAUAAGCCACGGCAAACUAUGUGCCAGCAGCCGCGGUAAUACGGAGGAUGCGAGCGUUAUCCGGAUUUAUUGGAUUUAAAGGGUGCGCAGGCGGAAUGUCAAGUCAGCGGUAAAAUUUCGGGGCUCAACCCCGUCGUGCCGUUGAAACUGGCGUUCUUGAGUGAGCGAGAAGUAUGCGGAAUGCGUGGUGUAGCGGUGAAAUGCAUAGAUAUCACGCAGAACUCCGAUUGCGAAGGCAGCAUACCGGCGCUCAACUGACGCUCAUGCACGAAAGCGUGGGUAUCGAACAGGAUUAGAUACCCUAGUAGUC
Molecule: ribosomal RNA, 442 nt
Filed under: uncultured bacterium
Lineage: Bacteria
Description: partial 16S ribosomal RNA
Rfam family: Bacterial small subunit ribosomal RNA
Source: RNAcentral